Molecule: long non-coding RNA, 1902 nt
Organism: Brienomyrus brachyistius
Lineage: Eukaryota; Metazoa; Chordata; Actinopteri; Osteoglossiformes; Mormyridae
Exons: 2
Source: RefSeq, a predicted model, not a curated record
GUUAGGUUGAAGAAACUGUUAGUAAUCAUUUGUUAUCAUUUCUGUAUAAUCAGCAAUGAGUGUAAAUAUGUAUAUACAUUAUUUUGUUUUCCUUUACCUUCAUACUUUAGAUUAUAUUAGUUUACACGUAUCCUGAGCACGUGUUUAAAUAGUUGUCUACCUGAGGAAAACCAGAACUUCUUCUUACUCUCACAGUCUUUUCUUUGUUCUCACUCCAAGACCCCUGCCCCCCAUUGACUAUAAAUAAAGGUGCCAAGGGGAACCACCCUUUGUAACACAUUCCUUUGUAGCCUAGCAUGCAGAGAGUGUGGUUACCCUUGUGCAAGUAAAACUCUAAGUGUGUUGUCUCGUAAUUAAUGGUGUGUACAGAGUUGGAGUGGAAAGCCUGUCGCUUUCUCCAACAUAUACUGUAUUGUAGUUUGGUCCUGUGUGCAGAGUUGGAGUGGAAAGCCUGACGCUUUCUCCAACAUAUAAUUUGGUCCUUCGAGCCGGAGUCGAGGACACCUGACGACAUCGCCAGCACGCCGAGAGGAGCGACACUGAAGCCUGCCGGCAGCCACUCGGAGACGGGUGCAAAAAAGACCUGUGACGUGAAUUCGUCAUCAGGCCGGUGGUUAGAACUGCGCUCGACGUCUGGUGAUGUCUGACGGACCUCGGUGGCGGAACACAGGCACACAGGACAGGAUAAUCUGCAGCCAGGAGAUUGGAUCCUGGUCAAGGUCCUGUUGCGAAAGGAUUGGAGCACACCUCGGUGGGACGGACCUUAUCAAGUCCUCCUCACAACACCAACAGCGGUGAAAAUAGCAGAGCGACCUUCCUGGAUACAUAAGAGUCACUGUAAGCCCAUCAAGCCCGUAUCAGAGACCUCUGUACCUUCGGAGUAGCAGUGGAAGUCCGCUACAAAGGCGCAGCAAUCAAUAGGAUACUGACGUCUCAACCCGGUGAAGAAAACAGCUGAUCUGCACUCCAUUUAGAAUGACUCUGAUUGGGUGGGGAUGUGGUAAGGUAACUCUCGGUGUAAUUCUCUUUAUGGGAAUUGUUGGUCUGCUUCUGCACUCACCAGAGCAGGUGUUUCGCCCACCUAGAUGGACACAUGACGGCUCCCACCUGAGACCUAUCUCCACAAAUGAGACCCAUCCUUUCCUACAAAAUUACUGGUAUCGUUAUGUUUAUGAUUCAGCAAAGAAAGACAAUUUAACUAACUGUUAUGUCUGUACACAUAUGUCCCUGGAUCCCCAUGCCAGUCCCUCAUGGUUGGACUGGUUUCUCACUGGGUCCUGGUGGCAGUUACUGCUAAAGUUCUCACUCCCCAUUCUUGUUACAUUAUUAUUUGUAUGUUGUUGUUUCAUUUGUAUUAUACCCUGCCUCCGUUCCAUGAUACAACAUACUUUUAGUUCUGUUUUUCUGCUAUACACUGCAGAAGAACGAAUGGAUUUACUAACCUUGUCUAGCCCUCUUAAUAAUGAUGAUGAUGUGAUCUGAAUGACGGUUGUGCUGAAAGUGUUUUUGCAAUUUGUACAAUACUGAUGCUUCUGAUCAUACUGUCAUGAUAAACAGGAGGGACUGUUAGGUUGAAGAAACUGUUAGUAAUCAUUUGUUAUCAUUUCUGUAUAAUCAGCAAUGAGUGUAAAUAUGUAUAUACAUUAUUUUGUUUUCCUUUACCUUCAUACUUUAGAUUAUAUUAGUUUACACGUAUCCUGAGCACGUGUUUAAAUAGUUGUCUACCUGAGGAAAACCAGAACUUCUUCUUACUCUCACAGUCUUUUCUUUGUUCUCACUCCAAGACCCCUGCCCCCCAUUGACUAUAAAUAAAGGUGCCAAGGGGAACCACCCUUUGUAACACAUUCCUUUGUAGCCUAGCAUGCAGAGAGUGUGGUUACCCUUGUGCAAGUAAAACUCUAA